This 250-nucleotide ribosomal RNA is filed under the name uncultured bacterium. RNAcentral describes it as "partial 16S ribosomal RNA". It matches the Rfam family "Bacterial small subunit ribosomal RNA", at positions 524 to 773 of the family's 1533-position model. The record is from RNAcentral.
UACGUAGGUGGCGAGCGUUGUCCGGAAUUACUGGGCGUAAAGGGUGCGUAGGCGGUUUUUUAAGUGGGAUGUGAAAUCCCUGGGCUCAACUCAGGAAUUGCAUUCCAAACUGGAUAUCUGGAGUGCAGGAGAGGUAAGUGGAAUUCCUAGUGUAGCGGUGAAAUGCGUAGAGAUUAGGAAGAACACCAGUGGCGAAGGCGCCUUUCUGGACUAUGUCUGACGCUGAGAUGCGAAAGCCAGGGUAGCGAAC